RNAcentral lists this long non-coding RNA (1719 nucleotides) under Phoenix dactylifera (date palm). Its description in RNAcentral is "long non-coding RNA (PDAC_LNC011467)". The record is from RNAcentral. Lineage: Eukaryota; Viridiplantae; Streptophyta; Magnoliopsida; Arecales; Arecaceae.
AGCCCCUUCCCGGUUCCUUUUAUAGAUACUUUCAGCAUGUUUGAAGGAGGAGAAGCGAUCGGAGAAGCUGAAACGCUGCUGGGAGUGGAUGAGACUCGGAUUAGAUGAAGUCGAAUCGCUUGGGAUCUUCGGCUGCUGGGAUGCUUCCACUGUUGCUUGGAAUGAUCCGCUUGGAAGACAAAAAGCCAUGCGGCUGGUUGAUGCCACAACGCUUGAGAUGCCAUGGACGGAUGUUGGGAUGCGGUUGGGAAGUGUGGAAGAAGAUGACUGUUGGGGUGUUGAGAAGACUCCUCACAGCCGCUGGAUUUGUGGAUGAGCUGGGAAGAAACAGGGGAGAUGGAAGGACUCUGAGGAGAUGCCACGAUCGGUUGGGAAAACUGGGAAGCUCCUCACGGACGCGUGCUCGAACGGAUGGAAUGUGGCGACGGUUGAAGAGCUGAGUGCUGGGUUUGUUCCAAAACAGAGGAGAUGGAAUGUUGCCACGGACGGUUGGAAGACUUUAACGUUGGGAAGUUGAUGGCAAACGGAUACUUGGUUUGAGAAGCAAUUGAAUUGCUUUGGGACUCUCGAGACGGCACAGGGACAAUUGAAGUUGUUGGAAAAUCACUUGCUUCAGCUCGUUGAUGUGGAUACAUGGAAAUUUUAGGUUAGGAACUGUUGUCGCCUCAUCACGGACACUGGAGAAUUUGUUGAGCUCGAACUACCGAGCAUUGGGCUAAAAUCCAGCGUUAUUGGGUCUUUUGAAUUACAUGCACUCAGACACAAAUAAAACAUUAAUUAAUUAAUUUUAUUAAUAAAGAUUAGCUAUAAUACUAAUUAAGAUAAUAUUAAAAUUUUACUUUUGUACUCUCAUCAGUGCUAAUGUGCUCGAUCAGAUCAUGGCAGGAUUGGGCCCGCGCGGUUUGGGGCCAUGAUGCAUCCGUCUAAACCCUACCAAAUGUGUAUUUAUACUAACCUGUGCCAAACAAAAAUAUAAUAUUAACUUAGUGAUUUUAUCGUUAUAUGUUAGCAGUAAUACUAAUUUAAGCAGCGUGUAGAUCGCACUUUUGUGCUCUCAUCACACCCUCCAACUAGCUUAUUGCUAGUCUCUAGCAAUUAACGAGUAAACGAUAAAAUGAGGGCACAAAAGAUGUAGUCUCACCCAUGACUUUUUAUUGAAGCUAAGUACAUAAAACUGAGAUACGUACCCAUUUUCGUAAAGCAUCACGAUUGCACUUAGCACGUGCAACAAACCUUUAGACCCCUAGGUUACCCUAGUGGACGAGUGUUGUCUCGUGAGGGUUUGCAGUGAAGUUACCCACAAACUUCAUCAGUCAGGAAUUUCCAAUUUUUAACUCGAAAUUUGAACAAGUAUUACUGUAUGAAACUAGAAUUGCAAGGACAAUAGAGACUUGUUGCUAUCAUAUUUAAGUAGACUCUAACUCAAGUUUCAUUACACCCCAUCUAUCUGCUAACAAGUCAAGAAUGUAGUGCGGUGCAAGAUAGUAUCAUAUAAAUGAGUGGCUUUCACUUACUUCCAACAUGAUCACUCCAAUUUUUAAGACUUUCUAGAGUUAAAUGGUAAUGAACACCCUAGAUUUAUUUAUUUAUUAUUAUUAUUAUUAUUAUUUAAUCAGACUGAAUACUAAGAAGAAUUACUUGUGCAAUAUCUAGCCUUAUUAAGCUUUCUAGCUAACCCAUGUAGCAAGUGUUAGGCCAAUGACUCCCGAUCCAGAUGGC